UUCGCCAGGGAUGAUAAUGACAGUACCUGGUAAAGAAACCCCGGCUAACUCCGUGCCAGCAGCCGCGGUAAUACGGAGGGGGUUAGCGUUGUUCGGAAUUACUGGGCGUAAAGCGCGCGUAGGCGGAUCGGAAAGUUGGGGGUGAAAUCCCGGGGCUCAACCCCGGAACUGCCUCCAAAACUAUCGGUCUAGAGUUCGAGAGAGGUGAGUGGAAUUCCGAGUGUAGAGGUGAAAUUCGUAGAUAUUCGGAGGAACACCAGUGGCGAAGGCGGCUCACUGGCUCGAUACUGACGCUGAGGUGCGAAAGUGUGGGGAGCAAACAGGAUUAGAUACCCUGGUAGUCCACACCGUAAACGAUGAAUGCCAGUCGUCGGGCAGUAUACUGUUCGGUGACACACCUAACGGAUUAAGCAUUCCGCCUGGGGAGUACGGUCGCAAGAUUAAAACUCAAAUGAAUUGACGGGG
This 465-nucleotide ribosomal RNA is filed under the name uncultured Alphaproteobacteria bacterium. RNAcentral describes it as "bacterial SSU rRNA". It matches the Rfam family "Bacterial small subunit ribosomal RNA", at positions 435 to 918 of the family's 1533-position model. Lineage: Bacteria; Pseudomonadati; Pseudomonadota; Alphaproteobacteria. The record is from RNAcentral.